UUUUAUAUAGUUUAUUUUAAAACUUUAUAUUUUCAUUAUAAAAAAAAUUUUUUAAUUUAUAAAUUAAUAUAAAAA
This 75-nucleotide transfer RNA is filed under the name Paroligoneurus sp. QL-2014. RNAcentral describes it as "tRNA-Glu". Lineage: Eukaryota; Metazoa; Arthropoda; Insecta; Hymenoptera; Braconidae. The record is from RNAcentral.